Molecule: long non-coding RNA, 1685 nt
Filed under: Cricetulus griseus (Chinese hamster)
Lineage: Eukaryota; Metazoa; Chordata; Mammalia; Rodentia; Cricetidae
Description: lncRNA (ENSCGRG00015037642.1)
Source: RNAcentral
GGGCGCAUUCACGGGCGGCCGGCCGCACGGACGGCUGGCUGCUCGCUCGGCGGCGCGGGCUGGACCGGGGUGGGGAUUCCUGUCUGGGGCCCCUGGGGCUCCUUUAAGGGCUCCUGGGUAAAUUUAAAGGGGCCGCGCGCAAUUUCCUCCUGCCAGCUCGCGGGGGGCUGGCGCGGGGAAGGCGGGAGGUGGCGAGUCCGCAGUGGGCGCCAGUUACGGACGCGGGGAGCACGGACCUCGGCGCCCUCACGGGCCCGCCCCGCCGCGUCCGCAGCUGCAGCUGCAGCUCAGGCUUGCAAAGAGUCGCCGAGGUGACCAGGGGCGCCCUCGUCCAGUCGGCUACGACGCGCCUCAGCCACCGCCCCCUCGGGGCAUCUCUACGAGCAGCUCUCCGCAGCCGGCCAGCUGGGGACCUCCCGGUGCGCCGGCCCGGAUCCUUCCCCCAGCUUAGUCUUUGCAGCCAACCCAUGAACCCGGAGCUGGCUGUUAAAAUGAAAAAGCAGAGACUACCAAGAGAAGGCACCAGUCCAAGCCAGGAAUGAUGGCACACACCUUUAAUCCCGGCACUCAGGACGCAAAGAAGGAUCCGAAUGUCCUGUGUGAUUCUUGCUGGCGAGGCAAUAGCGCGGGACAUCUGGUGCCGAAACCCGGGAACUUGUUAACAUCGCCGGCACCGCGGAGACCCCUUGGCUACAAGGCGGAUUCAGAACUGCAAGGUGGUAAAUUCGGAGAGGAUGAAGAGAAUCCCCUCUGGAUCCCGGAAAGACUCACCCGAAGAGCCCCUUCGGACCUUCAAAAGUCGAAACUCCACCCUCUCCCCGGGAGUUGAGAGCCCCUAUUAUCCAGAUUAACUCCUGUCCUUGACGGAGAGAUUGUCAUCGCUUAAUGGGUGGGGAUGGGAUUGUUUGGUGCAGCCGUUUGCUGCGGAUUGGUGUUACUUCUCUGGCUGGUCUGUAGGCUCAAGGCUCAAACUAAGAGAGACAAGAUGGUUAUCGCCCAAGCGCUUGUAGCUUUAAAACAAGGGGCUUCCACUGAUAUUUGGCUAACUAUGCUUAAGCAAUAGGCCGCCGGCCAGACAGCUCUUGCACACCCGGAGCCUAGGCUCAUUGCACAGGGUAGAGUGUCUGGUUUGAGCAGCCCAUGAGGGAUGUUGAGCAAGGCAUCGCACAGAGAGUUGCCCAGUAUGCAGGCUUCUCUGGGAGGCAUGUUGUCCUGCAUAAGGGUUGCCUGCCCUAGUCUCCCUUUCCCAGAAAAAUGGCAGAGGACAGGUCGAGAGCACUUCGGGUCAAGCUAACAGCCUGAUGGCGACUCUUGUACACAGUCUUAAUGUUUGAUUGGGAAGGUACAACCUCUGCCUCUAUCCCUCAACAUAUGGGUGACCUAUUUGCUUGUAAAAAUAUAAAGCCUUAUCAUUAAUUAAUAAAAAAGGGGGAUAUGUAGGGAGCCGUCCCUGCAUUCUCCAUUACAAUGAUGGUGCCUGCAGGCACUGAAUGUAAAUUAUUUCGCAGGCGCUGGGUAAUUUUCCAUUUCUUUGAUCUCUGCCUAUCCCGUGGCUCAUAUGGCCUGAGGAGCUGAAGCCAUUCAUAGGGUGACACGUCCCAGGCGGGGCUGCCAGCCUUUAUUAGGGGACGGGAUUCUUGGCUCAGGGUCUCCGCUCUGGUAAGCCUAUGCUCUCCUCUCUCAAG